RNAcentral lists this long non-coding RNA (211 nucleotides) under Ananas comosus (pineapple). Its description in RNAcentral is "long non-coding RNA (ACOM_LNC044874)". The record is from RNAcentral. Lineage: Eukaryota; Viridiplantae; Streptophyta; Magnoliopsida; Poales; Bromeliaceae.
AUAUAUUUUUUUAUAAACUUUAUUAAAUAGUCAAUAAACAAACUAUAUUGUUGACAAUGAAAUAUUGUUGGCGGAAAUGAAAUGAAAAAAAAGAGUAGAAAAUAAAGAGUAAAAAAAUUAGAAAAAAGUAAUGAGUAAAAGAGACGGCUAGGGUUUUAUUAGGAUGAAAAUACAUAGUGACUCAUCAUCUAUAAGUCAUAUUAAAAUUGAU